AUCACCGUGUUUACCUUAGCAACUGACUGCUACUUCUUGCGCUAAUUAUGAGUCCUGCCAACGCGGUUUAACGAUUUUAUCAUUUAGACGCAUUACGUUUAUGUAUAGCGGAAAGAAGCGUGAACAUUCGGUAGUUUGUUGCGUUCCGGUGGCUGGUGAUGUACGCUUAAUUAGCCCGCUGCUAAUAAAAUGAAAGCUCGUAUAUAGGAGGAAGUCGGCGUGAUGUCACGAUGUGUGUCGCCAUUUUGUGAAGGGGGAACGCACAGCUAAACAUUACAUAGACAAACGUCUGAAAUUCAUAUAUUUCAGGUGUGUUUUGCGUCUUUUUUCCUCAAAACGUCUUGAACGUGGCUUACUAUUAUCACGAGUCACUGCCGACAGACGCGAGGAGGCGAUGCAAUUUAAAAUUAGCGUUUAUUGGCUUACAAAGCUGCCGAUACAAAGUCACAGCUGAUAGCUGGAUAAACAAAGGGAUGGCCUGCAGUGGAGUUCGGAAACAUCUACAACUACCUCAUAAAGUCACCCUGUAAGUUGACCUUUAUCAUUUACUUGGAAUAUGUACUGUGUGGAACUGAGAAAAUUGGUAGCAUAUACGAAGUGAUUAUUUCUGCUGUAACCGGUAAUUCGCCUCCGAGCGUUAUUUUGCAGUGAGCACGUCACGGCAAAAUAACCAAUUCCCACCAGGCCAAUAAUAUACCGAUUGACUGAUCAGAGCAGUUCACGGCAAAAGAAAAAUAACGCUUUGCGAGUUGCCGGUUCCGGAAAUAAUAACCACUGCCUAGUGUACUGAAUCCUAGCAGCUAAUUGGGGCAAAAAUCAAAGUUUACUCACCAGUAAUAAAAUGUCGGCUGCAAACGUAAAUGUGCUUGGAUUUAGGUUCCCACAGGCGAAAAUAGUCCACGUCUUCUUUUACUGUUCCUCGAUUAAUUGCUCUCAGCCAAAUGUUUCUCCUUUUCUUCUCACGUGGAAGAAUGAAGAACUUCAAAUGCGGCUCCGAACUCUUCCUUGUGUGGCAACUUUUAGUCAUUCCGACGGAAAAAAGACCGCAAAUAAAAUGAAAGUUAAACGCGUUUCUAUUACAAUGCACGACAGAGCAACUGCUUGUGACUUGUGUUUUGCCCUCAUUUCAAUAUGGCGACGCUUUGUUGUGGCUGGUGACGCCAUUAAUGCCCGGAUGUCCAACUGCGAGAAUGCACGAAUGCUAGACCGGGACGUCGCCAUCGUAAUGCGGAAGUGGGACAUUAUAGACACGCCCUCGUAUACAACACAUUCUAUUUCUGCUUGUUUUGUACGGUAAUCUUUCAAAAAAGAACAUGCAGAUCAAACACCGCUGCUACGGAACUUGUAGAAACAACUCUAGACAUUACGAUUUACGAUAUAUGAGGGAUGUUUUCUUCAUAUGUUUCCGAAACCAAAAACUGAGGGAAAAAAUGUGAAGAAUGGAUCAACUUGCGAGGUGAAGCCAUUCACAUUUCAUAUGCAGUAAACAUUUUGUUGGGGGCCAUGGUCCUACAGAGGACAAAGAAGUAAGCCAUUAUGAUAUUUUGACUUCUUUCUUAGCGUGGCAUUUUUGCCGUGCUGCUACUGUCUGACGAUGAAUGACCUGAAAAAAAAAUAAUAUGGUGCCUGACUGCCACGGUUACCUUUUCUGUUGUAAAAAAAAAAAAAGUGUAAAUAAAUUAUAGAAUUGUUAUUAAUGGAAAAAUGAAAGGUGUUCCUUGGCUGUCACUGAGUAGCAUUUGCGAUCGCUACACAAAAAUAGCAAUGUAAAUUGCCUAGAGCUGUCCCGACUAGUCGACGUAGUCGACGUCAUCGAUGACAUAAAUCCGUCCACGAGCACAACAUGCCGUCGACGGUAAAUGAAGGGUUAAAAAAAUAUAUGCGUGGAAAGUUAGAAUGUCGGAUGCUCUGUUUGCAAGCAGGGAAAGCGGCACAAAGCCAAAAAAAGCGCACCAGAGUGUCCAAAACAUUGACUUAUUUCAAAGAAACAAAGGAGAGUACACUCUUCUGUCCUGUCUCUUCAGUGCAAAGCUUAGCUGCACGUCGGCCGUGAAUAAACACCUCAAGCGCCUUCACGCAGUUUGUAAGGGUUUUUUUUUUUUUUUUUUCCAUUUUUUGUACACCAGAGGGUGCUGUCGCCUGACUAAAUAAUAAUGUUUCAUUGACAAUGGGCCUAUAAGUGCUAUUAGUAUUGUUCUUAAUGCUAAUUGAAAGGUUUAUUUCAUGUUAUGGUUUAUUUUAUGGUAUAGAAAAUUAUAUAAGGUUAAAAGGUCAUAAAUAUAUACAGUAUAUACAGUGAUUGCACUCAAGGGAGAGAUUGUCAAUGAUAAGGUAAUAAGGUAAAGGCAAUUCAUAUAGGCAAUUCAUUGAUAUAUAAAUAAGGUUUAAAAGGAAAAAUGUGAAAAGUUUUUGUUAAUUUCUAAUUGUGUUGCUUUAUUUGUGUGCGCCGUAGCUCUUACGGUGUGUUUACAUCAAGGAUGGAAUAAAAGUUGUAAACCAUCAGUUUAAGAGACCAUCUUUUCAAUCGGGAUGCUACACUAGUUAAUUCUAUCAGCAUUUGAACUCAUUGUUUAUUUGUGAUUUAUUAUUGUUAUUUACGUGUUUAUUUGUACUUUAAUAAAUGAUUUGAGUGUUCCAAUAUGUUUUUUUUUAAUUGAUAAGCGUCAACAAAAAUUUCAUUGCUAAAUUAGUUUAAAAAAUUAAAAAAUAAUUAUUAGAUUAGUCGACUAAUCGUAAAAAUAGUCGGCUGACUAAUCGGGAGAAAAUUAGUCGUUUGGGACAGCCCUAAAAUUGCCCCCAAGAAUGGUCCGAGACGUAAGAGGAUAUAAUAUAUAAGAAAGACAGGGCAUAUGGCGGUAAAGGAUAGAUUGCUGAAACAGGAGAAUGUCAUUGUAAGUGGUGUAAAGCAAUGCACACAAGAAAAAUGUGUCGAUAAAAAAAGCUAACUCUGGAUCUUUUUCAGCCCUCAAGACUCAAGCCAUCUCUUUAACUGAACAUUUGUAUGUUCUUUCACAUAUUUACCAGUGAAUUUGGCACCAGGGACAUCAUUUUUAGACAGAAUUGGUAGGUUUGGCUCAGUGAACAUCUCCUUCGUACACUAUUGUCACGCAUUUAAAAUUAGGUGCAAACGGGAGGUUGACCCGCCUAGCCACAAUGGCUAAUGUCAUGAAUAUUAAUGAGCAAAAGUGACAUGUUGCUUGUGGUACACCAUUGAUAUUACAGGGAAGACUUUGGACUUGCAGCUAUCAAGUCGGGGCCAGUUGGCAGUGAAACAGUUCAAGGAGCAUAUAGCAUCACCGGUGGAGAUCCCAGUAGACAAGCAGAGUCAUCUACCAGGGUAGAGUGCUACAAGAUGACAGAACGCUGACUGUGCAAUGUAGACGUUCAUCUGGGGGAGCGCGCCCCACCUCAAAGCGUCAGGUUAGGCUCAGGUGGUGCCGGCGUAUCCGGUCAAGGGGCAGACGACGGCCGAAGCUGCGCUACAGUCUCUUCGGUGCCAUCAACCUUCCAAUCCACAUCAUGGAACAGCUACAGGUGCUGUUGACAUAACUCAUCUGCUGAGCCAACAUUGGUCCAUAUAAUUUUACUGCAUGCUGUCAUAUUAGUUAUGUUACUAGGCAAGGGAAGGCCAAUUUAUUUGCUGGUCAUCUCCAAUAAAAACGCGCGGUGCAGUUUUAUUCCUUUAUCCGUUGCUCUCAAUAACCAUCAGCACUUGCCCGGUGUUUGAAAAGUUUUGCUCCCCAUCAAAAAUGGCUACUUUGCGCUUCUGUGCAUGCGCUUAACUCAUUCACUCCCAGCCAUUUUCACUUUUCCAUUUUUCGCUCCCGGCCGUUUUACUGGAUUUUGACUGAUUUUGCAAGGCCCACAGAAAAAAAACUCUGUUCUAUUGCUAUAUAAAGAUGGAACCCACCAAAAGAAAGAUUAGACUCUCUUCUUUCAGCAGAAAAAAAGUUAGUUCAUAUCUUUUUCCGAUCUUUAGAAAUCAGCAUUAGAAAAUAGCUUAGUUUGAGCAAUUUUCCAAUUUCUGAUGAAAAAACAGAAAUUGAGCUUUUUGUGAAAGCAUACAUUUCAAACAUAACUUUGACUUCAACACAGGUAUUUUUCGCUUUUGUGACAUCCCAAACAUCUGAGUAAUGUUUACUGGUGCACGAUAAUUAUUGGUCCCAUAAUAGGAAUUAUGACGUCAUCCCGAUAAAUCCAAUAACAUUUAUAAUAGGACCGAUAAUAUGUACUGUUCUGGCUUUGCAGUUUACACAGUAGUAUGGGAAAUCAGUUAAACCAUUUGCGGGGCAUUGCUCCCACCUGCUGGCCAGAAUAAUUCAAUGCACCAAUUAUUUGUUACAGUAGUUUGGUUCGAUCGCUUACCCAUUGCGGUGUCUAGCGGUAGCAUUGACAGUCGUGAAUGCUUUCUGUUACGUUUCCGCCUCGGAAAUAUAUGUAAGUAUUUUAUGUUUACUAUUACAUACGGAUGUGCAAAAUAUGUUUACCUCUGUGGUGAAGGGUCAUAUGUACAGAACUUCAUAAGUUGUGUUAUAGAAGCCAGCCAAUGCUUUAGUAGCUCAAGCUAGUGUGCUAUGCUAUACAUAAAAUAGUUGUGUAUAUAAGUGUAUUGUGCAGUUUGUUGUAUUUUGAGUAUUGAAUAUGUGUAUUUUUCUGUUGUACUUUCACAAUAUUAAGACGAGUGUCUUCCCAUAAAAGCAAGAAAAGACCAAGCCUUGUGGUUUAUGGAAGUGCACUUAUUCUUAGCUAGCUAUCGGGCAGUGCAGAAGUGAAACGCACUGUUUUGUUCAUGUCAUUAUGAAAAAUCUGAUGAGAUCAAAGGCAAAUCUAUGUUGAAUCCACUACUAUUUUUUUUUCAAACCUGCAGGUGUUCAAAAACUCAGGUUAUACAUUUUUAAAGUUAUAUAUUUAUUAUCGGUUAUCGAUAUCAUUAUCGGCUUUGAGGAGCAGGAAGUUAUCGAUAUCGGUAUCGGUUUUUUUAAAAAAUGGAUAUCGUGCACCCCUAAUAAUGUUUUCGUUCUACAAAAUAAGAUAAACAACAAGACAAAUAGAGCUUUUGAUCACAAAGUAACAAUUUAUUUACACAUAACUAAACUAUUGAACUGUUGAACUAUUUGCGCACAUAACAACGGGGAGGGCUCUUGGCUGCUCCCGGUCGAAUGAGGUGGCUCACAGUAAUCUGAUGAGUCCGGAUCAAGAUCAGUCUCACUUUUUUCAUCAUCUUCAUCGUUGGUUUCGACCUCGGGCUCAGGAGUAACGCAACGUGAGCUCCGCAGAACGCGUGUAGAACCUGACGCUGUUGUGUCCGUCACAGUCUGUCUCAUCAAGAUAGAUUUUUUUGAAUCCUUCUUUGACAAUUGCUUCAUUUUCUUUUCAAAACACUCCUCUAGUGUCGUUUGCCUUUUUUUCCCGAUCGUUCUCCACAUUUUUCUCAAAUU
Molecule: long non-coding RNA, 5438 nt
Organism: Corythoichthys intestinalis (scribbled pipefish)
Lineage: Eukaryota; Metazoa; Chordata; Actinopteri; Syngnathiformes; Syngnathidae
Exons: 3
Source: RefSeq, a predicted model, not a curated record